UACGUAGGGCGCAAGCGUUGUCCGGAAUUAUUGGGCGUAAAGAGCGUGUAGGCGGUUUGGUAGGUCCGCUGUGAAAACUCGAGGCUCAACCUCGAGACGCCGGUGGAAACCAUCAGGCUAGAGUCCGGAAGAGGAGAGUGGAAUUCCUGGUGUAGCGGUGAAAUGCGCAGAUAUCAGGAAGAACACCCGUGGCUAAGGCGGCUCUCUAGUACGGUACUGACGCUGAGACGCGAAAGCGUGGGGAGCGAACAGG
Molecule: ribosomal RNA, 253 nt
Filed under: uncultured bacterium
Lineage: Bacteria
Description: partial 16S ribosomal RNA
Rfam family: Bacterial small subunit ribosomal RNA
Source: RNAcentral